UAGAUUCGAAAAGUUGGAAUAACCGUCAUUUUAGAUGUUCGUUAAACGGAUUUUGUCACCUGGGGAGUUGUAGAGCAAAGCACCUGAGCACCCAGGGUGAGGGACACACAGUAUUAUGAGUUCCUACGCCAGAACUCGACGGAACUCAGAUCUGGCACCUCUCAGGUGGGUGCCAUUGCCAUUAUAAGAGAACGAGGGAGAAGUUCAUGGCUUGCUCUCAGCCAGGUCUCAGUGAAAAAUACCCAGCCAGUAUGGGCACCAGCCAUAUGUAGAUCCCAUAGGCCCACUCUUCUCUUUCCAUGAUACAGGCUAAUCCUGCUUGGACCAGUUGGUUUAUACACGUGAAAAGAGGAACCUUCAAUUUGACCAAUCCACAUUGCAUUUACGGGAGCAAGAAACUGGACAAAGUGGAAGCAGCUUGCGAUAAACGGUAGCGAAUGAAGUGGAUUUCCAUUGGCUUUAAUACGGAAGCCAGGAGCGUCGUGUGCUGAUCUAUGACGUGCCCGUGAGUGACUGGAGCCACGGCUUUCAGAAGCGUAUGGGGAAGCCCAGGUUGCGGUGGGAGGACAGAGCACCUGUUUCCAGCAAGUCUACCAGGACUGUCUCAUUUCUGACCAUAUGAAAAUCCAUGGGUUUAUACGCAGUGAUCAUGUCACUUCUUUAGGGCAAUCAAAGCAGGCAAGUCGAACCACACAUCCUGUUCAGAAACUGAUAGCAAGGCAUAGCAAGAAAUGUAGAGACAGACUUCUAACCUAGACACUUUUAAACUAUCUUUCCCUUUCCUUAAGAGGCUGCACCCUUGAUAUUAGUCUCAGGAAUCAGUACUCCAAAUUAGUGAUCAUCUGUGUUUUCAAUAGUAAAGGACUCAGGAAAAAACUAUUAAAGGAAGUUCAGUUUGGAUCUAUGUAACUCUCAAUGAUAGGUAAAUGCACAUGAUUUGGGGCAGAAUUUGGACCACCCAAGGAAAGCAUGUUAAUUUUGCAUUUUGAAGUCAAGCAUUUUGAAGUAGUAUGCAGGAUGAUGACAGCACAACCACCUCCUUCAGCCAUUUUAAAAUAAGCUACUCAUAUAGUACUGACAGCAACCUGCGCCCCUAAACAUCGGCUCCUAGAGACUGGGGCAUCCUCUAGAACAGACUAGCAUGUGGUGUGGAAGGCCGCAGCAAGAAGGGCAGAUUUCCAAAGACCAGGGCUCCCAGGAUGAGAACAAAAGAGUCAUCCACUUCUACAUUGCCACCUUGGAUUCCACAUCAUAUACCCAACACAGAGGCUACUUGUGGACCUAUCUUUGAGAAGAAGGGGCUUCAUGUCAAUGUGGGACUGAAUGGAUUCCUGUGGCACCUCACAGGCCAAAGGCCAUAGAGUGAAGUCCCCCAGUGCUGCUUUUUCUGCUCAUCCCUUUGGAAAGGACUGGCACUACCAUAGCACUGCAUCCUCGGGUCUCACUCUGGCCAGAUGAUCUGAGAAGGAAACUAUGGUUGAUGAGGACGAUGACUGCCAAGAGGUCCAGGAGGACCAGUAGAGUUACAUUUCCCCUUUGGCAGAAGUGUAAACAAGGUUGGAAAGGAUCCAAAUAUCCAUGUUUCAGGUUCUGAACAGUAAACUACUCCAUGGGUUGUUGAGAAAGCAACUCGGCUCACCCCUGCUUUAUCCAAGGAAAGGUUUCUUGUCUUGGGAGACUGGGGAGCAGUAAUGGCCAAACCAAGCCUUACCAAGUGUUCCAAUUGGAAAACCAUUGGGAUUCCUGAUUCAUCGACUGGGCCAAUCCCGGCAUAAUGUGGUGCUUUAAUGACUGUGACUUUCUUCUCUUCUUCCGAAGUUCUGCAGAUUGGUAUUGUGCUGGUGGUACUGCUGCCGCCAACAGAAUGAGCAUGCUGAGAACCAGGCUUGAAUUGAGUGAGACUGGUGGGGAAUAUCCUGAAGGGGAAAAAGGCCUUUGAAAGUGGCUCAUGGGACUGGUUGCUGAACUAGAGUUCCCAUUCACU
Podarcis raffonei (Aeolian wall lizard) is the source of this 1984-nucleotide long non-coding RNA. RefSeq lists it as uncharacterized. The transcript has 12 exons. The record is from RefSeq and is a predicted model, not a curated record. NCBI's taxonomy places the organism in Eukaryota, Metazoa, Chordata, Lepidosauria, Squamata, Lacertidae.